RNAcentral lists this ribosomal RNA (429 nucleotides) under uncultured archaeon. RNAcentral's name for it is "bacterial SSU rRNA". It matches the Rfam family "Archaeal small subunit ribosomal RNA", at positions 474 to 903 of the family's 1478-position model. The record is from RNAcentral.
UACCAGCUCUCCGAGUCGUAGGGACGAUUAUUGGGCUUAAAGCGUCCGUAGCUGGCUUAGCAAGUCUCCUGUUAAAUUCAGCGACCUAAUCGUUGAGCCGCGGGAGAUACUACUAGGCUAGGAGGCGGGAGAGGUCGACGGUACUUUCGGGGUAGGGGUGAAAUCCUAUAAUCCCGGGAGGACCACCAGUGGCGAAGGCUGUCGACUAGAACGCGCUCGACGGUGAGGGACGAAAGCUGGGGGAGCGAACCGGAUUAGAUACCCGGGUAGUCCCAGCUGUAAACUAUGCGGGCUAGGUGUUGGGGUGGCUACGGGCCACUUCAGUGCCGCAGGAAAGCCAUUAAGCCCGACCGCCUGGGGAGUACGGCCGCAAGGCUGAAACUUAAAGGAAUUGCGGGGGAGCACCACAAGGCGUGAAGCUUGCGGUUC